Bombus terrestris (buff-tailed bumblebee) is the source of this 1789-nucleotide long non-coding RNA. RefSeq lists it as uncharacterized. The transcript is spliced from 3 exons. Lineage: Eukaryota; Metazoa; Arthropoda; Insecta; Hymenoptera; Apidae. The record is from RefSeq and is a predicted model, not a curated record.
AGGCAACCAGGGGGUCGAUUUUCGUUUCGUCGCCUUCGUUCUUGCUGCUAUCGGUAGAUCGUGGACAUUUAUAUUUUUAUGAGAAAUAUGAAAAACGAGAAAAUGUUGGGAAUAUUCGUAACACGGAAAUACAGAUAAAACAAAACUAUCCAAAGUAAAUCACUGGUUAUAAUAGUUGAUAAAUGUAAAAGAACCACUUGAGUUCUAUUUCUUUGAUUAUGCUCGUAAAAAUACAAAUUCCCAUAAAUAUUCACAACCUACUCGUUAUUCGUAGCUGCACGUUUCUUCUAACGGUGUCUUAAAGUCAAUUUUUCUCAUAACAGACACGUGACAUGAUAGGCUUGUUGUAUACACGAAUAACAUGUCAAUUUAUCAAGACCACAAGACUCUUUUACUUCUGUUCGUUUAAUCGAUGCGAUAGAACCAGUCGUUAUAACGAUUCCCCAAUUGUUUUGCGCAGUCUAUCAUCCCAGUGUGGUCGGAAAUGUCUAAUGCGUGGUUAAAGCUACGCUUUAAAACAUACAAAAAAUAAUGAUCGGUGCUUACCUUAAAUAGGAACCGACAUGGCAGGUACGGUUCGUGUUGCCGUGCCCCGAAUAUCUGCAAACAGAACGCAAAAGAUCAACAUCACAAAUAAAUAGAGAAGUACACAGACUACGAGAAUCUGGAAAAUGUCAAGCGUGGUACCAAAUUGACUUUGCGAAGCUGAAAUUGCUACGAAACCGGGUCGUUUCAGCGCCUAGUUCCUUUAAAAUUUCCAAGCUACGAAAACUGUUCGGGUAUAACGACACUUUUACAUGAAAACGAAUCUAAACGAAUACAAACGUAAUUAAAGAAACCAGGAGCGAGUGAUUAUUAGCACCAGGCACCCAAACGAUUAUAUCCGCUACUGGUUACAGUAUGGAUUUCCAGAUCCUUAACAAGAAGCGAGUUACAUAGCGAACAAGAAUCUUCUUUAACGUGAUAUUUCAUCGUCCCUCUACGUAACGACGUUUUCGAGUAGCGACCACUUUCAAACGGACAGAAUUAACGUAUCCAGUUGACAACAACGUCAAGAGGGAAGAACAUGGUAGCAAGUAAUAAUAAUUGGUGGAAGCGAAGAGACAGAGAGAAGAAUUUGAAAGCCGACGCCCAACGUUAAUCCCGUUUCAGUGGAAAGAAAGGCGCAUCGGGAAAUGAGAAAAGUCGGGAGAGGAAGCAAUUGCGACUGGUUUUUCAUGGUAUUCGUGAUUAUUCGGUGGAAAAGAACAAAAGAAGAGGCAAUACCGGCGGAUGAUGCGCCAUGGCACAAGGCCCGUGUGCCAUUCGUUUCUCCGUACCUGUGCAUCGUUCCUCUUGUUGCGCUAGAACGGUUGACAUAUUUCUUUUAGCGGUACACAGAGACGAGAAGAGAAGCCUAGCCGACGUUUCUCCUCCAUUCUUCUUCUAUUCCUUUGGCCUAGCAACGCCAGUCAUUACCAACGCCGCCAUCAACCACACGCUGUCAUUGUCUGGACGCACUUUGCCGAUGCACGCGACAACGCUCGUUUGAAACGCGACUUUAAUUGCGUAACACCCGGCCGUCUGUCCGUUUUCACAGCGAAACGAAUUAAGACAACGAUCACGUGUACCCCAUCGUUCACCGAGAACAGUUUUCAUGCCAUUCGUGACGCUCUAAAAUAGUUCAUCUCUGUCCGAGACAAAUUGGAAAGCAAAGGAACGAACUUGUUGCGCUUUGUUUUAUUUUAAAGUGGAUUUGUCGAGGCUACUUUAUAGAAAACGAUAAAAGAUAAUGUGAUGUAUCGAUCGC